RNAcentral lists this unclassified non-coding RNA (520 nucleotides) under uncultured Glomus. RNAcentral's name for it is "SSU rRNA". It matches the Rfam family "Eukaryotic small subunit ribosomal RNA", at positions 569 to 1096 of the family's 1831-position model. The record is from RNAcentral. Lineage: Eukaryota; Fungi; Glomeromycota; Glomeromycetes; Glomerales; Glomeraceae.
AGCAGCCGCGGUAAUUCCAGCUCCAAUAGCGUAUAUUAAAGUUGCUGCAGUUAAAAGCUCGUAGUUGAAUUUCGGGACUAAUAUGUCGGUCGUGCCUCGGUACGUACUGGCUUAUUGGUUUCUCCUUUCUGAAGAACCAUGAUGUCAUUUAUUUGGUGUCGUGGGGAAUCAGGACUGUUACUUUGAAAAAUUAGAGUGUUUAAAGCAGGCUCACGCUUGAAUACAUUAGCAUGGAAUAAUGAAAUAGGACGUUUGAUUCUAUUUUGUUGGUUUCUAGGAUCGACGUAAUGAUUAAUAGGGAUAGUUGGGGGCAUUAGUAUUCAAUUGUCAGAGGUGAAAUUCUUGGAUUUAUUGAAGACUAACUACUGCGAAAGCAUUUGCCAAGGAUGUUUUCAUUAAUCAAGAACGAAAGUUAGGGAUCGAAGACGAUCAGAUACCGUCGUAGUCUUAACCAUAAACUAUGCCGACUAGGGAUCGGAUGAUGUUAAUUUUUAAUGACUCAUUCGGCGCCUUACGGGAA